Molecule: unclassified non-coding RNA, 197 nt
Filed under: rhizosphere metagenome
Description: partial ribosomal RNA internal transcribed spacer region
Source: RNAcentral
GUAGGUGAACCUGCGGAAGGAUCAUUACCGAGCGAGAGUUCUCUGAAUUCAACCUCCCACCCGUGUUUAUUGUACCUUGUUGCUUCGGCGGGCCCGCCUCACGGCCGCCGAAGACACCUUGAACCCUGUACGAAAAUUGCAGUCUGAGUCUAAAUAUAAAUUAUUUAAAACUUUCAACGACAGAUCUCUUGGUUCUG